GACAGAGGGUGCAACCGUUGUUCGGAAUUACUGGGCGUAAAGCGUGUGUAGGCGGCCAAGCAAGUCGGAUGUGAAAGCCCAGGGCUCAACCCUGGAAGUGCACUCGAUACUGCCUGGCUUGGGUAUCGGAGAGGUUGGUGGAAUUCUCGGUGUAGAGGUGAAAUUCGUAGAUAUCGAGAGGAACACCGGUGGCGAAGGCGGCCAACUGGACGAAUACUGACGCUGAGACACGAAAGCGUGGGGAGCAAACAGG
RNAcentral lists this ribosomal RNA (253 nucleotides) under uncultured bacterium. RNAcentral describes it as "partial 16S ribosomal RNA". It matches the Rfam family "Bacterial small subunit ribosomal RNA", at positions 524 to 776 of the family's 1533-position model. The record is from RNAcentral.